Molecule: small RNA, 519 nt
Filed under: Arabidopsis thaliana (thale cress)
Lineage: Eukaryota; Viridiplantae; Streptophyta; Magnoliopsida; Brassicales; Brassicaceae
Description: ATSL276780
Source: RNAcentral
GGUCGAGUGGUUUGGCAUGAUCAGGUCCGCUUCUUCCAAUUAGCUCGUCAACAGCUCCGAAUCACUUGAAAACAACACAAAUAUGCCACAUGCAUGCAAAACUAUCCUAAACAUACAAAGUGAUGACAAAUGAUGAGAAAUGGUAUAAAACAAUGAUGAUAUGGUGCUAAAGUGAUGACAAAUGGAUGCUCAAAAUAUGCAAAAUACACAGUUAUCAUUGGCUAACCCAGAUUCCUGCAACAGUGCAUUCAUCAUUUCUUUUAGAGUUCGAUUCUUUCGUUCCGCAAAAUGCAUUGAAUGGCUCAUUAUAUUCUCAUCCUCUAUCACUUCGAACUAUUUUUAUAGUUCUCUGAAGUUGAUUUUCUACUUCGAGUGUAAAUUCUUUGAAUUUUACCAGAGCUUCAUCCUUGCUAUGUAAUAGAUAUACAUAAUAAUAUCUUGUGCAAUCAUCUAUGAAGGUAACAAAAAAUUUCUUACCACCUCUAGUUUGCACAUAUUUCAAAUCACAUAAGUCUGUGU